GACGAACCGUCCUAACGUUGUUCGGAAUCACUGGGCUUAAAGGGCGCGUAGGCGGGAUGGCAAGUCGGUCGUGAAAUCCCUCGGCUCAACUGAGGAUCGUCGAUCGAUACUGCCGUUCUUGAGGAUUGCAGAGGAGACUGGAAUUCCCGGUGUAGCGGUGAAAUGUGUAGAGAUCGGGAGGAACACCGGUGGCGAAGGCGGGUCUCUGGGCAAUUCCUGACGCUGAGGCGCGAAAGCGUGGGGAGCAAACGGG
Molecule: ribosomal RNA, 253 nt
Filed under: uncultured bacterium
Lineage: Bacteria
Description: partial 16S ribosomal RNA
Rfam family: Bacterial small subunit ribosomal RNA
Source: RNAcentral